Molecule: long non-coding RNA, 858 nt
Filed under: Musa acuminata (dwarf banana)
Lineage: Eukaryota; Viridiplantae; Streptophyta; Magnoliopsida; Zingiberales; Musaceae
Description: long non-coding RNA (MACU_LNC009856)
Source: RNAcentral
AAGAGACUCCAUUGACAACAAACACGGGGCAAACAGAAACACGAAAAGAUCUUAGCGCGGAAGCUUACUUCUUGGGGAAAUCAGAUAGUAGUUUACUAGUAAGCUCUAGUAUUCGUCUGCAAGUUUAGUUCAAGGUCAGUUAUUCAAGUGAAGUUCAAUUGUCUAGGUUCAUAGCGAGGGUUGCCCUUAUAUUAAGUUGGAGGAAGAAAUCUAGUCUAGGUCUAGUGCUUUAUAAGGUAUUUGUUCCAUUAUGAUCUUAGUAGUAAAUGCGGAAGAGGGAUAAUAAGCUACUUAGUUAUCAAAGGGGUUAGUGUCCGAAGAAGAAUGAAGUUGCUAAUAAAAACUCAAUUCGAAAAGGCAGGAGCUAAUUAUGGUAUGGAUAAGGGCGAUAAGAGGCCUCUAUAGUCAGUUGGGGAAGAAGAAAUUCCAUGCUUUUCAAGUUAAUGAGUUCUGGUAUGAAAUAGUUACUACUGCUCCUGUUCUUGUGGAAUCCCCAGUUGCAUCUGUGUUGACAAGUGGUAGUCCAAGUAGUAGUCCAACUGGUAGUGUAGUGGUAAAGUUCUGGUUCUUGACCAAGUCCUGUGUUCGGCUUCCAAGCCUGAUACCGGGGCAAGCCAAGACUUCAACAAGGGAGUGUAAGACGGAAAGACAUCUCUAAGGAAUGAGACCAGUGGUACUAAGCCUUAAGUCCUAUAGGAAGUCCACCAAUUCCCUGAUGCUAUAGUAAGAAUUCCACUAGUCAAGGCAAGAAUGAGAAACAAAGUAGACUGAGAGUUGAACUAGUGCAUCUCAGACUGAAAGCAAGGGCACAGGAGCCAGGUGCUCCAUAGUUAGAAUGAAAUCACUAACAACAAGAAU